GAUGAACGCUAGCGGCAGGCCUAACACAUGCAAGUCGAGGGGUAGAGUUCUUCGGGACUUGAGACCGGCGCACGGGUGCGUAACGCGUAUGCAAUCUACCUUAUACAGGGGAAUAGCCCCAGAGAAAUUUGGAUUAAUGCCCCAUAGUGUUAUCGAAUCGCAUGGUUUGAUAACUAAAGUUCCAACGGUAUAAGAUGAGCAUGCGUCCCAUUAGUUAGUUGGUAAGGUAACGGCUUACCAAGACAAUGAUGGGUAGGGGUCCUGAGAGGGAGAUCCCCCACACUGGUACUGAGACACGGACCAGACUCCUACGGGAGGCAGCAGUGAGGAAUAUUGGACAAUGGGCGCAAGCCUGAUCCAGCAAUGCCGCGUGCAGGAUGAAGGCCUUCGGUU
RNAcentral lists this ribosomal RNA (393 nucleotides) under uncultured bacterium. RNAcentral's name for it is "bacterial SSU rRNA". It matches the Rfam family "Bacterial small subunit ribosomal RNA", at positions 28 to 423 of the family's 1533-position model. The record is from RNAcentral.